Molecule: ribosomal RNA, 872 nt
Filed under: uncultured bacterium
Lineage: Bacteria
Description: bacterial SSU rRNA
Rfam family: Bacterial small subunit ribosomal RNA
Source: RNAcentral
CGGUAAGACAGAGGAGGCAAGCGUUGUUCGGAAUUAUUGGGCUUAAAGCGGAUGUAGGCGGCUUGGUAAGUGUCCCGUGAAAUCCCACGGCUCAACCGUGGAAUUGCGGGGCAAACUGCCUGGCUUGAGGUCGGUAGAGGCGCCUGGAACUCUAGGUGGAGCGGUGAAAUGCGUAGAUAUCUAGAGGAACGCCAGAGGCGAAAGCGGGGCGCUGGGCCGAUUCUGACGCUGAGAUCCGAAAGCGUGGGGAGCAAACAGGAUUAGAUACCCUGGUAGUCCACGCCGUAAACGAUGCACACUAGGUGGCGGAGUCUCUGACGGCGUCGCCGCCGUAGCAAAAGUGAUAAGUGUGCCGCCUGGGGAGUACGGCCGCAAGGCUAAAACUCAAAGGAAUUGACGGGGGCUCACACAAGCGGUGGAGCAUGUGGCUUAAUUCGAAGCAACGCGAAGAACCUUACCCAGGUUUGACAUGCUUGGAUGCAAUUCCGGGAUAACCGGGAGCGCUGCCCUUCGGGGUGAAACUUGCACAGGUGUUGCACGGCUGUCGUCAGCUCGUGCUGUGAAGUGUCGGGUUAAGUCCCUUAACGAGCGAAACCCCUAUCGUCAGUUGCCAGCGCGUUAUGGCGGGGACUCUAGCGAGACUGCCGGCGUUAAGCCGGAGGAAGGUGGGGACGACGUCAAGUCAUCGUGGCCCUUAUGCCUGGGGAUGCACACGUGCUACAAUGGCUGGGACAGAGGGAAGCAAGACCGCGAGGUGGAGCAAAUCCCAAAAACCCAGCCUCAGUUCGGAUUGCAGGCUGCAAUUCGCCUGCAUGAAGUCGGAAUCGCUAGUAAUCGCGUAUCAGCUACGACGCGGUGAAUGUGUUCCUGAG